AAACGUAGGAGGCGAGCGUUAUCCGGAUUUAUUGGGCGUAAAGCGCGUGCAGGCGGUUUGGUAAGUUGGAUGUGAAAGCUCCUGGCUUAACUGGGAGAGGUCGUUCAAAACUACCAGACUAGAGAAUGGGAGAGGGAAGUGGAAUUCCGGGUGUAGUGGUGAAAUGCGUAGAUAUCCGGAGGAACACCAGUGGCGAAAGCGGCUUCCUGGACCAUUUCUGACGCUAAGACGCGAAAGCUAGGGGAGCGAACGGGAUUAGAGACCCCGGUAGUCCUAGCUGUAAACGAUGUAGACUUGGCGUUGGCGGAGUUAAAUCUGCCAGUGCCGGAGCUAACGCGUUAAGUCUACCGCCUGGGGACUACGACCGCAAGGUUAAA
RNAcentral lists this ribosomal RNA (377 nucleotides) under uncultured bacterium. RNAcentral describes it as "bacterial SSU rRNA". It matches the Rfam family "Bacterial small subunit ribosomal RNA", at positions 523 to 898 of the family's 1533-position model. The record is from RNAcentral.